Molecule: long non-coding RNA, 441 nt
Organism: Leopardus geoffroyi (Geoffroy's cat)
Lineage: Eukaryota; Metazoa; Chordata; Mammalia; Carnivora; Felidae
Exons: 2
Source: RefSeq, a predicted model, not a curated record
AAAAUAAAUAAAUAAAAUAAAAAAUGCCCAAGCUCCUUGUGACCAGUGCCUGUGGUGUAGAAAGGUUGAAUUACAUCGCCAACAGGAAACAGGACCAGUGGCCUCAGUAUCCAGUCUGUCAUCUUCUCAGGCACCUCCUGUAUCUACAUAAUGCCCUGUGACUUGAAAGAAAAUUUCAAAAAUCUCUCAUAUCACCUUUCUAAUCAAGGCGAAGGACGAAGAAGCAAGAGCUGGAUUCUGAAGCUGAAAAAAAAAAUGAGAGCAUACAUCACUUUGGAAAUGUGCUUGCUGACUCAGAGUGAUAUGGAGGUACAGCUAACAAUGAAAUUAAAUGCAGUUCUAGACAAGCUAACCAUACUCUAAAGCAAUCAGCAUGAUGUAUUUAUUCUCCAUUUCCUCUCUGUGGCUAGAGAUUCAAAGGAUAAAGUCAUUAAAAAUCUU